AAUGAACGCUGGCGGCGCGCCUAAUACAUGCAAGUCGAGCGAGAAGACGUAGCAAUACGUUUGUAAAGCGGCGAACGGGUGAGGAAUACAUGGGUAACCUACCCUCGAGUGGGGAAUAACUAGCCGAAAGGUUAGCUAAUACCGCGUACGCUCCUUGGACUUCGGUUCAGGGAGGAAAGCGAUACCGUGGGUAUCGCGCUCUUGGAUGGGCUCAUGUCCUAUCAGCUUGUUGGUGAGGAACGGCUCACCAAGGCUUCGACGGGUAGCUGGUCUGAGAGGACGAUCAGCCACACUGGCACUGCGACACGGGCCAGACUCCUACGGGAGGCAGCAGUAAGGAAUAUUGCGCAAUGGGCGAAAGCCUGACGCAGCGACGCCGCGUGGGGGAUGAAGGUCUU
This 398-nucleotide ribosomal RNA is filed under the name uncultured bacterium. RNAcentral describes it as "bacterial SSU rRNA". It matches the Rfam family "Bacterial small subunit ribosomal RNA", at positions 29 to 418 of the family's 1533-position model. The record is from RNAcentral.